UUCCGGUUGAUCCUGCCGGACCCGACUGCUAUUUGGGUGAGGAUAAGCCAUGCGAGUUGAAUGGGAUACCUAAAAAUCCCAUGGCAAACUGCUCAGUAACACAUGAUCAACUUACCCUAUAGAGGAAAAUAACCUCGGGAAACUGAGGAUAAUGUUCCAUAGUUGAAUCGGCUUGGAAAAGUUUUUCAAUAAAAGGGAUAAGAAAAAUGGUUCUUAUCUGCUAUAGGAUAGGAUCGUGCUCGAUUAUGGUUGUUGGUGAGGUAAAGGCUCACCAAGCCGAUAAUCGAUAGGGGCCGUGAGAGCGGGAGCCCCGAGAUGGGUACUGAGACAACGACCCAGGCCUUACGAGGCGCAGCAGGCGCGAAACCUCCGCAAUACACGAAAGUGUGACGGGGUUACCCAAAGUGUUCUAUUUAGAACUGUGGUAGGUGAGUAAUGUUCCCUACUAGAAAGGAGAGGGCAAGGCUGGUGCCAGCCGCCGCGGUAAAACCAGCUCUUCAAGUGGUCGGGAUAAUUAUUGGGCUUAAAGUGUCCGUAGCCGGUUUAGUAAGUUCCUGGUAAAAUCGGGUAGCUUAACUAUCUAUAUGCUAGGAAUACUGCUAUACUAGAGGGCGGGAGAGGUCUGAGGUACUACAGGGGUAGGGGUGAAUCUUAUAAUCCUUGUAGGACCACCAGUGGCGAAGGCGUCAGACUGGAACGCGCCUGACGGUGAGGGACGAAAGCCAGGGAAGCGAACCGGAUUAGAUACCCCGGUAGUCCUAGCUGUAAAGCAUGCGGGCCAGGUGUCUAGCGCUCCUUGAGGGCGCUAGGUGCCGGAGGGAAGCCGUUAAGCCCGCCGCCUGGGAAGUACGGCCGCAAGGCUGAAGCUUAAGAAAUUGGCGGGGGAGCACACAAGAGUGGGACCUGCGAUUCAAUUGGACUCACGCCGG
RNAcentral lists this ribosomal RNA (929 nucleotides) under uncultured archaeon. RNAcentral describes it as "bacterial SSU rRNA". It matches the Rfam family "Archaeal small subunit ribosomal RNA", at positions 1 to 921 of the family's 1478-position model. The record is from RNAcentral.